RNAcentral lists this transfer RNA (90 nucleotides) under Candidatus Falkowiibacteriota bacterium. RNAcentral's name for it is "tRNA-Leu". It matches the Rfam family "tRNA". From Rfam's summary of the family: Transfer RNA (tRNA) molecules are approximately 80 nucleotides in length. Their secondary structure includes four short double-helical elements and three loops (D, anti-codon, and T loops). The record is from RNAcentral. Lineage: Bacteria; Candidatus Falkowiibacteriota.
GCCGGGGUGGCGAAAUCGGCAGACGCUGGGGACUUAAAAUCCUCCGGUCAUAAACCAACCGUCCGGGUUCGAGUCCCGGUCCCGGCACGA